AGCUUCGGAGCUUCGUUAUCAGAGGGAACAUCACUAUAAAGUAGUACAUUACUCACAGCUGCAGAAUUUUCUGAUUUAAAGUGCUUUUAGUAGUUGACCUAUAAGUGCUGUAAAAAUUAGUGUUAGCUUGUUGUCCUUUGCUCUAAUUAGCAACUAGCUAACGAAACACACAGGUAGUAGAGCAGAGACUCAGGUGGAGCCACAGAAUUUCAGCAGCUGGAAACUUGGCAGAGCAGCAGUCAGUCAGGGACAGAAGACACAGCGUCUCCUACCACUGGACCGAGGUACAAGUGGUUUCAGGUAUCUGUACUGCACUUACUGUGAUCCCCAAAGACAAAGGGCAGUUACAUUAGUUACACCUGUAAAGUUAAAGACCUGUUAAAAGUUAUGUUUAUUGCUUUUUGGACUCUCCUGGGUGUAAAAUCUAAGCAUUUAUAAGCCCAUUAGCUAAUCACAAGUCUUGUUCAAAAUGUGCUGCUGUCUUUUCAAGU
Molecule: long non-coding RNA, 491 nt
Organism: Monopterus albus (swamp eel)
Lineage: Eukaryota; Metazoa; Chordata; Actinopteri; Synbranchiformes; Synbranchidae
Exons: 3
Source: RefSeq, a predicted model, not a curated record